RNAcentral lists this ribosomal RNA (254 nucleotides) under uncultured bacterium. Its description in RNAcentral is "partial 16S ribosomal RNA". It matches the Rfam family "Bacterial small subunit ribosomal RNA", at positions 334 to 580 of the family's 1533-position model. The record is from RNAcentral.
AUAUCCUACGGGACGCAGCAGUGGGGAAUAUUGCGCAAUGGGCGAAAGCCUGACGCAGCGACGCCGCGUGAGGGAUGAAGGUCUUCGGAUCGUAAACCUCUGUCAGCAGGGAAAAACGGUCACUGUGCUAAUCAGCAGUGAAUUGACGGUACCUGCAAAGGAAGCACCGGCUAACUCCGUGCCAGCAGCCGCGGUAAUACGGAGGGCGCGAGCGGUAAUCGGAAUUACUGGGCGUAACGCGCUCGUAGGCGGUA